This 520-nucleotide ribosomal RNA is filed under the name uncultured Entrophospora. Its description in RNAcentral is "SSU rRNA". It matches the Rfam family "Eukaryotic small subunit ribosomal RNA", at positions 569 to 1084 of the family's 1831-position model. The record is from RNAcentral. Lineage: Eukaryota; Fungi; Glomeromycota; Glomeromycetes; Entrophosporales; Entrophosporaceae.
AGCAGCCGCGGUAAUUCCAGCUCCAAUAGCGUAUAUUAAAGUUGUUGCAGUUAAAAGCUCGUAGUUGAAUUUCGGGAUUGGCGCAUCGGUCGUGCCUCACGGGGUAUGAACUGGUGCAGUCAAUUUCUCACCUUCUGGAGAACCGCGAUGUCCUUAAUUGGGUGCCGCGGGGAACCAGGACCUUUACUUUGAAAAAUUAGAGUGUUUAAAGCAGGCAUUUUUGCUUGAAUACAUUAGCAUGGAAUAAUAAAAUAGGACGGCAUGGUUCUAUUUUGUUGGUUUCUAGGACCACCGUAAUGAUUAAUAGGGAUAGUUGGGGGCAUUAGUAUUCAAUUGUCAGAGGUGAAAUUCUUGGAUUUAUUGAAGACUAACUACUGCGAAAGCAUUUGCCAAGGAUGUUUUCAUUAAUCAAGAACGAAAGUUAGGGAUCGAAGACGAUCAGAUACCGUCGUAGUCUUAACCAUAAACUAUAGCCGACUAGGAAUCAGACGAUGUUAAUUUUUAAUGUACUUCGUUUGGC